Molecule: ribosomal RNA, 2902 nt
Filed under: Klebsiella pneumoniae
Lineage: Bacteria; Pseudomonadati; Pseudomonadota; Gammaproteobacteria; Enterobacterales; Enterobacteriaceae
Description: 23S ribosomal RNA
Rfam family: Bacterial large subunit ribosomal RNA
Source: RNAcentral
GGUUAAGCGACUAAGCGUACACGGUGGAUGCCCUGGCAGUCAGAGGCGAUGAAGGACGUGCUAAUCUGCGAAAAGCGUCGGUAAGGUGAUAUGAACCGUUAUAACCGGCGAUGUCCGAAUGGGGAAACCCAGUGUGAUUCGUCACACUAUCGUUAACUGAAUACAUAGGUUAACGAGGCGAACCGGGGGAACUGAAACAUCUAAGUACCCCGAGGAAAAGAAAUCAACCGAGAUUCCCCCAGUAGCGGCGAGCGAACGGGGAGCAGCCCAGAGUCUGAAUCAGCUUGUGUGUUAGUGGAACGGUCUGGAAAGUCCGACGGUACAGGGUGAUAGUCCCGUACACCAAAAUGCACAGGCUGUGAACUCGAAGAGUAGGGCGGGACACGUGGUAUCCUGUCUGAAUAUGGGGGGACCAUCCUCCAAGGCUAAAUACUCCUGACUGACCGAUAGUGAACCAGUACCGUGAGGGAAAGGCGAAAAGAACCCCGGCGAGGGGAGUGAAAAAGAACCUGAAACCGUGUACGUACAAGCAGUGGGAGCACCUUCGGGUGUGACUGCGUACCUUUUGUAUAAUGGGUCAGCGACUUAUAUUCUGUAGCAAGGUUAACCGUAUAGGGGAGCCGCAGGGAAACCGAGUCUUAACUGGGCGUUAAGUUGCAGGGUAUAGACCCGAAACCCGGUGAUCUAGCCAUGGGCAGGUUGAAGGUUGGGUAACACUAACUGGAGGACCGAACCGACUAAUGUUGAAAAAUUAGCGGAUGACUUGUGGCUGGGGGUGAAAGGCCAAUCAAACCGGGAGAUAGCUGGUUCUCCCCGAAAGCUAUUUAGGUAGCGCCUCGUGAAUUCAUCUUCGGGGGUAGAGCACUGUUUCGGCUAGGGGGUCAUCCCGACUUACCAACCCGAUGCAAACUACGAAUACCGAAGAAUGUUAUCACGGGAGACACACGGCGGGUGCUAACGUCCGUCGUGAAGAGGGAAACAACCCAGACCGCCAGCUAAGGUCCCAAAGUCAUGGUUAAGUGGGAAACGAUGUGGGAAGGCACAGACAGCCAGGAUGUUGGCUUAGAAGCAGCCAUCAUUUAAAGAAAGCGUAAUAGCUCACUGGUCGAGUCGGCCUGCGCGGAAGAUGUAACGGGGCUAAACCAUGCACCGAAGCUGCGGCAGCGACACUAUGUGUUGUUGGGUAGGGGAGCGUUCUGUAAGCCUGCGAAGGUGACCUGUGAGGGUUGCUGGAGGUAUCAGAAGUGCGAAUGCUGACAUAAGUAACGAUAAAGCGGGUGAAAAGCCCGCUCGCCGGAAGACCAAGGGUUCCUGUCCAACGUUAAUCGGGGCAGGGUGAGUCGACCCCUAAGGCGAGGCCGAAAGGCGUAGUCGAUGGGAAACAGGUUAAUAUUCCUGUACUUGGUGUUACUGCGAAGGGGGGACGGAGAAGGCUAUGUUAGCCGGGCGACGGUUGUCCCGGUUUAAGCAUGUAGGCUGAUUGUCCAGGCAAAUCCGGAUAAUCAAGGCUGAGGUGUGAUGACGAGGCACUACGGUGCUGAAGUAACAAAUGCCCUGCUUCCAGGAAAAGCCUCUAAGCAUCAGGUAACAUUAAAUCGUACCCCAAACCGACACAGGUGGUCAGGUAGAGAAUACCAAGGCGCUUGAGAGAACUCGGGUGAAGGAACUAGGCAAAAUGGUGCCGUAACUUCGGGAGAAGGCACGCUGGUGUGUAGGUGAAGUCCCUGCGGAUGGAGCUGAGACCAGUCGAAGAUACCAGCUGGCUGCAACUGUUUAUUAAAAACACAGCACUGUGCAAACACGAAAGUGGACGUAUACGGUGUGACGCCUGCCCGGUGCCGGAAGGUUAAUUGAUGGGGUUAUCCGUAAGGAGAAGCUCUUGAUCGAAGCCCCGGUAAACGGCGGCCGUAACUAUAACGGUCCUAAGGUAGCGAAAUUCCUUGUCGGGUAAGUUCCGACCUGCACGAAUGGCGUAAUGAUGGCCAGGCUGUCUCCACCCGAGACUCAGUGAAAUUGAACUCGCUGUGAAGAUGCAGUGUACCCGCGGCAAGACGGAAAGACCCCGUGAACCUUUACUAUAGCUUGACACUGAACAUUGAGCCUUGAUGUGUAGGAUAGGUGGGAGGCUUUGAAGCGUGGACGCCAGUCUGCGUGGAGCCAACCUUGAAAUACCACCCUUUAAUGUUUGAUGUUCUAACGUUGGCCCCUGACCGGGGUUGCGGACAGUGUCUGGUGGGUAGUUUGACUGGGGCGGUCUCCUCCCAAAGCGUAACGGAGGAGCACGAAGGUUAGCUAAUCCUGGUCGGACAUCAGGAGGUUAGUGCAAUGGCAUAAGCUAGCUUGACUGCGAGCGUGACGGCGCGAGCAGGUGCGAAAGCAGGUCAUAGUGAUCCGGUGGUUCUGAAUGGAAGGGCCAUCGCUCAACGGAUAAAAGGUACUCCGGGGAUAACAGGCUGAUACCGCCCAAGAGUUCAUAUCGACGGCGGUGUUUGGCACCUCGAUGUCGGCUCAUCACAUCCUGGGGCUGAAGUAGGUCCCAAGGGUAUGGCUGUUCGCCAUUUAAAGUGGUACGCGAGCUGGGUUUAGAACGUCGUGAGACAGUUCGGUCCCUAUCUGCCGUGGGCGCUGGAGAAUUGAGGGGGGCUGCUCCUAGUACGAGAGGACCGGAGUGGACGCAUCACUGGUGUUCGGGUUGUCAUGCCAAUGGCACUGCCCGGUAGCUAAAUGCGGAAGAGAUAAGUGCUGAAAGCAUCUAAGCACGAAACUUGCCCCGAGAUGAGUUCUCCCUGAGACUUUAAGUCUCCUGAAGGAACGUUGAAGACGACGACGUUGAUAGGCCGGGUGUGUAAGCGCAGCGAUGCGUUGAGCUAACCGGUACUAAUGAACCGUGAGGCUUAACCUU